GUUGCAACCUUCUACUUCCCGGUGCUGGGGAUUUUUAUUGUUUCCUGCUGAGGAUUCCUGUUGUAACCUUCUGCCUUCUGGUGGGUUACUGAUUUCAAAAUCUGUAGUAUAAGACUCAAAAGUAUUCCUCUCAUUAUACAGGUAGGCGCCUGAAACAUAAAAUGUAAAGACUGAAAAGUAUUCCUCUCAUUAUACAGGUGGGCGCCUAUUUAAACUGAGACAUAAAAAUAUUCCUCUCAUUAUACAGGUGGGCGCCUAAUUAAACUAAGAACAUAGAAAUAUUCCUCUCAUUAUACAGGUGGGCGCCUAUUUAAACUAAGACAUAAAAAUAUUCCUCUCGUUAUACAGGUGGGCGCCUAUUUAAACUAAGACAUAAAAAUAUUCCUCUCGUUAUACAGGUGGGCGUCUAUUUAAACUAAGACAUAAAAAUAUUCCUCUCGUUAUAUAGGUGGGCGCCUAUUUAAACUAAGACAU
RNAcentral lists this long non-coding RNA (474 nucleotides) under Nicotiana tabacum (common tobacco). Its description in RNAcentral is "long non-coding RNA (NTAB_LNC008087)". The record is from RNAcentral. Lineage: Eukaryota; Viridiplantae; Streptophyta; Magnoliopsida; Solanales; Solanaceae.